This 497-nucleotide ribosomal RNA is filed under the name uncultured bacterium. RNAcentral describes it as "partial 16S ribosomal RNA". It matches the Rfam family "Bacterial small subunit ribosomal RNA", at positions 28 to 507 of the family's 1533-position model. The record is from RNAcentral.
GAUGAACGCUGGCGGCGUGCCUAAUACAUGCAAGUCGAGCGAACGGACGAGAAGCUUGCUUCUCUGAUGUUAGCGGCGGACGGGUGAGUAACACGUGGAUAACCUACCUAUAAGACUGGGAUAACUUCGGGAAACCGGAGCUAAUACCGGAUAAUAUUUUGAACCGCAUGGUUCAAAAGUGAAAGACGGUCUUGCUGUCACUUAUAGAUGGAUCCGCGCUGCAUUAGCUAGUUGGUAAGGUAACGGCUUACCAAGGCAACGAUGCAUAGCCGACCUGAGAGGGUGAUCGGCCACACUGGAACUGAGACACGGUCCAGACUCCUACGGGAGGCAGCAGUAGGGAAUCUUCCGCAAUGGGCGAAGGCCUGACGGAGCAACGCCGCGUGAGUGAUGAAGGUCUUCGGAUCGUAAAACUCUGUUAGUAGGGAAGAACAUAUGUGUAAGUAACUGUGCACAUCUUGACGGUACCUAAUCAGAAAGCCACGGCUAACUACGUG